This 497-nucleotide ribosomal RNA is filed under the name uncultured bacterium. Its description in RNAcentral is "partial 16S ribosomal RNA". It matches the Rfam family "Bacterial small subunit ribosomal RNA", at positions 28 to 507 of the family's 1533-position model. The record is from RNAcentral.
GACGAACGCUGGCGGCGUGCCUAAUACAUGCAAGUUGAGCGCUGAAGGUUGGUACUUGUACCAACUGGAUGAGCAGCGAACGGGUGAGUAACGCGUGGGGAAUCUGCCUUUGAGCGGGGGACAACAUUUGGAAACGAAUGCUAAUACCGCAUAAAAACUUUAAACACAAGUUUUAAGUUUGAAAGAUGCAAUUGCAUCACUCAAAGAUGAUCCCGCGUUGUAUUAGCUAGUUGGUGAGGUAAAGGCUCACCAAGGCGAUGAUACAUAGCCGACCUGAGAGGGUGUUCGGCCACAUUGGUACUGAGACACGGCCCAAACUCCUACGGGAGGCAGCAGUAGGGAAUCUUCGGCGAUGGACGAAAGUCUGACCGAGCAACGCCGCGUGAGUGAAGAAGGUUUUCGGAUCGUAAAACUCUGUUGGUAGAGAAGAACGUUGGUGAGAGUGGAAAGCUCAUCAAGUGACGGUAACUACCCAGAAAGGGACGGCUAACUACGUG